This 465-nucleotide ribosomal RNA is filed under the name uncultured bacterium. RNAcentral describes it as "partial 16S ribosomal RNA". It matches the Rfam family "Bacterial small subunit ribosomal RNA", at positions 28 to 507 of the family's 1533-position model. The record is from RNAcentral.
GACGAACGCUGGCGGCGUGCUUAACACAUGCAAGUCGAACGGAAAGGCCCUGCUUGCAGGGUACUCGAGUGGCGAACGGGUGAGUAACACGUGGGUGAUCUGCCCUGCACUUCGGGAUAAGCCUGGGAAACUGGGUCUAAUACCGGAUAGGAGCCAUUUUUAGUGUGAUGGUUGGAAAGUUUUUUCGGUGUAGGAUGAGCUCGCGGCCUAUCAGCUUGUUGGUGGGGUAAUGGCCUACCAAGGCGGCGACGGGUAGCCGGCCUGAGAGGGUGGACGGCCACAUUGGGACUGGGAUACGGCCCAGACUCCUACGGGAGGCAGCAGGGGGGAAUAUUGCACAAUGGGCGCAAGCCUGAUGCAGCGACGCCGCGUGGGGGAUGACGGCCUUCGGGUUGUAAACGCCUUUCGCUAGGGACGAAGCUUUUUGUGACGGUACCUAGAUAAGAAGCACCGGCUAACUACGUG